RNAcentral lists this ribosomal RNA (253 nucleotides) under uncultured bacterium. RNAcentral's name for it is "partial 16S ribosomal RNA". It matches the Rfam family "Bacterial small subunit ribosomal RNA", at positions 524 to 776 of the family's 1533-position model. The record is from RNAcentral.
UACGAAGGGGGCUAGCGUUGCUCGGAAUCACUGGGCGUAAAGCGCACGUAGGCGGAUUGCUAAGUCAGGGGUGAAAUCCUGGAGCUCAACUCCAGAACUGCCUUUGAUACUGGUGAUCUUGAGUCCGGGAGAGGUGAGUGGAACUGCGAGUGUAGCGGUGAAAUGCGUAGAGAUGUGGAGGAACACCGAUGGCGAAGGCAGCCUCCUGGGCCAACACUGACGCUCAUGCACGAAAGCGUGGGGAGCAAACAGG